AUGUGGCUCAGCGGUAGAGCGCUCACCUAGCAUGGGCGGGUCCUGGGUUCGAUCCUCAGCACCACAUA
RNAcentral lists this transfer RNA (68 nucleotides) under Marmota monax (woodchuck). RNAcentral describes it as "tRNA.Ala". Lineage: Eukaryota; Metazoa; Chordata; Mammalia; Rodentia; Sciuridae. The record is from RNAcentral.